Molecule: long non-coding RNA, 874 nt
Organism: Pseudopipra pipra
Lineage: Eukaryota; Metazoa; Chordata; Aves; Passeriformes; Pipridae
Exons: 2
Source: RefSeq, a predicted model, not a curated record
ACGCGAGGUCACGGCCGCGGCGGGGCGGGGCUGCUGCGCGUGCGCGCCGGUGGGGAUGGGCGGGGCGGGCGGCGACGUGCGGGGCAGCACGCGGGGGGGCGCCGCCCGGUGACCGUGACGAAAUCACGGAAUGGGAGGGGCUUGGAACGGACCAAAAGGAUCAUCUGGUCCAAGCCUCCCUCUCGCUAGAACAGCUUGUUCAGAGACUCAUCCAACCUGGUUUUGAACACUGCCAGGGCUGAGGAAUCCACCGUCUCCCUGGGCAACCUGUUCUAGUACCUCACCACCCUCACAGUAAAGAAUUUAUUCCUAAUAUCUAACCUCGAUUUCCCCUCUUUCAAUUUGUACCCGCUAUUGCUUGUCCUAAUACUACAGUUCUGACGAAGUGUCCCCCUUCAGCUUCCCUGUAGGCCUCCUUCAGGUACUGGAAGCUGCUAUGAGGUCUCCACACAACCUAUUCUGCAGGAUGAACAGCCCCAACUUUCUCAGCCUGUCUUCACAGGGGGGGUGUUCCAGUCCUCUUAUGAAUUUUGUGGCCCUCCUCUAGACUUGCUCCAGCAGUUCUAUGUCCUUCUUGCAUUGGGGACCCCAGAGCUGGAUGCAGCACUCCAGGUUAAACUCUACAUAUCUCCCACUGCAGGACAUCCCUGUCUGGAUGCCAGAUGCCCACUGAAGCUGCGCUGUCACUUCCUUACUCAGCUGGACAGGGGAGAGAAAAUAGAACAAAAGGCUCAUGAGUUGGGAUAAGGACGAGGAGAGAUCACUCACUAGUUACCAUCAUGGGCAAAACAGGCUUGACUUGGGGAAAUUAGUUUAAUAUAAUACCAAUUAAAUCAGAGUAGGGUAAUGAGAAAUAAAACCAAGUCUUAAAACA